Molecule: long non-coding RNA, 3956 nt
Organism: Gasterosteus aculeatus aculeatus (three-spined stickleback)
Lineage: Eukaryota; Metazoa; Chordata; Actinopteri; Perciformes; Gasterosteidae
Source: Ensembl
CCCACAGCCUUGGUUUGAGCACCAGUUUAAUUAGACAGACCCCCCUGGUAUGAUACCUUUUAACAAUGACGGUGGAUUUCAAAAAACUGAUUUUUCCUCAUUGCGGGAGGUUUCAUGGUCAUUGCAACUGAUGAGCACGGGGCGUGCCGACAACCAAAUUCUCCCUAUUUUGUAAUAAUUUACAUUGAAAUAUUUAGGGAUCUGGGGAAUGGAAAAAUGUUUCUCCAAGGUCUCCAGAUUUUCAACAUUAACGCUAUGCUGUAGUCCAGCCUCCAUGACAAAUAACAUAUCGUUACUGUGAAAUAGAUAUUUUAGUUGUCACUGAAAAUCAAACGUGAGCCACAAUGCCCAAAAUAACUAUCCAGUUGCCUCCUGUCUAUUUGUUUUCACAAAUGGAAGCAAGGUCUUUCGAACGAAACAGUUGACAUUUAAAGCGCUGUGUGUAGGUGAUCCAGUGAGAAGAGCACCUUAAUUGGCCUCAUUUACUAUUGAUUGAAUUUAAUUGGUCCAACCUGUUUUCAAGUCAAUGCUGUUGCGGCCACAACCUCAGAUUGAUGCACCACUUUACAACACGAUAGUUAUCUUAAUAAUUAUCUUUUUUUCAUCCUGUGUAUUUCUCAUGGCUAUCUUCUACUAUAGGCUGUAAGAAUAAAGUUUAUUUUGGCAUUAUCCUAGGGAGGCUCUCCAUCUUUGUAAUCUUGAACUGCUGGGUGCCAGAGCAUUUUCAUGAACUGAUUACACCCAGUCUGUUCAAUUUUACCGCCACGGAGGCUUCAAAGCACAGAGGGUUCGCUUAAAAUUCACAAACUGGACUCGCACUAAUCCUGUUACACCCUCUCACAUUGCAAACAUGAACAACAGCAUAUUUGAAAACUAUUGGGAACAUUGAAAAUGUGGAUUUUGGGUAGAAUGUUUUACUAAAGACGGUUUUAUUUAAGCAAUAAGGUACGAGAAGCUGUACUUUAUCGUCCAAUAAUGUAACAGUUCGCGGGUGUUGUUAGCGGAGGGCCGGCAACCCUCGAACUGUUACAUUAUUGAAGAUAAAGUACUGCCUCAGGUAACUUAUUGUUUUUAUAAUACGGUUACCAGCGAAUAUUAUAAAUAGUAAGUAAAUAGCUGCCUUUCAGCACAAAAUAGUAUCAGCCAUCGAACGUUGUGUAUCGCAUUUCAGUAGUCUAGAGAUAUAUUCGUGCAUGUAAACAACAUUGGGUCUCCUUGCAAGAUCUCGCACCAUCUCAUUCAUUCACAUCGCUCAUGACGUCCACCUGAAUUGUCCGGUUGCGAAAGCUCGCUUUGCCCGAAACUGAUCAUUUGUGGCUUUUUCUGUCUUUUUUCGGCGAUCGCCACCGAGCUAGAAGCUAUUUUAUUAUAAUAAAAGUUGGAAUAAAGCUACACUAAAGUAAUAAACUACAUUGUAUAACAAGUAUUGAUGUAUUUAUGUGUAAGAAUUGCUUCGAUGUGUCAGUUGGUAAAGUGAAUACUCAAAUAAAACCUCAGCACCUCAUAAUUGUACUUUACUUGAGUAAAUACAGUAACUCUCCAUCACUCAUGAGUAUUCAUGUUAGACGGCAAAAUGAGCUGUUUAAGAUGGAUUAAUACACUGGACUUCUAUCAUACAGGCCAUACAGAAAACGGCCACAGCUGGCUGUGAUGUGACGUAAUGAUAGCUUUAAUUUGGAAAAAAUAACUUUGUAUCAGUGGACGCUUGUCAGAUUAACUCAAAUCCCCUUUGAGAACGAAUGUGCUUGGAGAGAGUGCUGACUUUAAGAACUUUACCUUUACAACGGAAAAAGAGGUUUUUUAAGUGCUGUGGUGGCAGACUGUUGUUUCAAACCAAGAGAAUUUCUGAUCAAAAUAUUUAAUUUAUGUGUUGACUCAGUUAGAAAGUCACUGAGACCCCUCCCGGUAUGAGUUUACUGUACAGCGGCUCGCUGUAUGAGUGCACAUGUAUUUCCCGUUUUACUCCUCACAGCUCUGCACGCGGCAGAUGCUGAAUGAACUAAUGCACACACAGAGCUCAGCUCAGCUCGCCUCUGAGCUCAGAACAGUGUUAAAAUCAGAAGUGAAUGACAUUUAAAGGAUUACCAGACACCGAGAUCUAAAUGGUUGACUUGAUAACAGUCUGGAAGUGAAAUUCUCCCAGAUCUUCAUCUAGCUUUGCUUCUCAGAGCAUGAGAUUAGACAUUAAUACGAUCCUUGAUUGCGAACAUGAAAAUAAGUCACUCUGAUACUUAUCACCAGGAGACUGAAAGCAACAACAUAUGAAAACACUUUCUGUAUUAAUCAGUCUUAAACUGAUAAGUGUAAUAAUAGAAGGGAAGUUUUAGAUCACAUCUACAUGGAUGGUAGCUGUCUCGGGUAUUGUUCUUUUCUUCCAUCUCUUUUGAAUGUUUUUGUCUUUACAUAAAAGUCCAUCAAACAACUAAGUGGCCUGUUUAUUUGAUAAUACAAAUGCUUCAUCUUGCUCAGUAGCUUGGAGUCUAUGGGAGUGGGGAAAUAUAUAUAUUACGACUGAUUUUGUACUCAAAAGCCAAGCUUAGCACAAAGGCUGGGAACAAGUGGAAACAGGUAGCAUGGCAUAGUCCAAAGCUAACCACAUCCACCAAGCAGCACCUCUGAAGCUCACAGAUUGACACAUUGUAUUACAGCUGCCUGCAGCUAAAGAUUUACCCUACAGAUAUUCAGCUUUAUUCUGACUAUUCUUUUUUUCUUUGUUGCUAACUACUUAUUUGUGUAUGGAGCAACAUAAAAGCGCUAUAGAAAUGAAUAGUGAAACUAUCACCUCAGAAUUGCCAGAAUAGAUGAACAAUGUAUGGUAACAGCUCAGAUUAAGGUUGAUCAAAUUAUGUAAAUGUAGUUCUAAAAAAAGAUUUCAAUAAUAAAUUGUUUCCAAAAACUUAAUUUCACAAAUUCACAAAAUUAUUUCUGAUUGCAUAUUUAGUAGAUCUGACUUUGAACAUAGAAUUAUUAUGUUUUAUGUGCAAAUCAAGUACAAAUUUGUCAGGGUUGAGGGUGGAAGGCAGGACUCAAACGCAGACUUGCGGCAAACAAAAGACUUUAAUAGUCACAAGGAUCAAAAAACACCGGAACUGGGGGCAAACGCACACAGGCAAGAGACUACGACGAUCCAAGACGAAAGACAAUGACGCGACAAGUGACACAGGAGACACACUGCUUAAAUACACAAGGGAGGUGCAGGUGAUUGGACACAGGUGGAAACUAUUAGACGAACACAGGGGAUGACGAGACAAGGCAGGAAGUGAAGUUACCCGGGGACACGAGUGGCAGAAAACUACAAAAUAAGACAGGAAGUGAACCACACCGUGACAGUACCCCCCCCCUCAAGGGCCGACUUCCAGGCGGCUCACACUAGAGCAAAACAAGGGGUGGGGGGGAGGGAAACCCGAGACGUUGGUCGGACCACCCGGGAAACUCUGGCGGGCGGCCCGACGAGCGGGGAGCCUCUGGGGGUCGGCCCGGCGGGCGGUCCUUUCGCCGGCUCCGGAGCGGUGACCACAGGGCACGGAACGUCUCAGGAAUGGCAGGCUCUGAGAAACGGGAAACCUCCGGGGUAGUCGGCGGCGCCGGCUCGGGGACACGGGAAACCUCCGGGGUAGUCGGCGGCGCCGGCUCGGGGACACGGGAAACCUCCGGGGUAGUCGGCGGCGCCGGCUCGGGGACACGGGAAACCUCCGGGGUAGUCGGCGGCGCCGGCUCGGGGACACGGGAAACCUCCGGGGUAGUCGGCGGCGCCGGCUCGGGGACACGGAACACCUCCGCAGUCUGCUCCGGCUCGGGGACACGGAACACCUCCGCAGUCUGCUCCGGCUCGGGGACACGGAACACCUCCGCAGUCUGCUCCGGCUCGGGGACACGGAACACCUCCGCAGUCUGCUCCGGCUCGGGGACACGGAACACCUCCGCAGUCUGCUCCGGCUCGGGGACACGGAACACCU